GAAUAGGCUUCACUCCGAGCCGAGUUCACCUAAAGUUAACUCUACGGUAACCGGCCAGGGCCUAUGGCCCUCGGGGUAUGUCUGGAAACGGAUAUGCCUUCACGUUUUGAAAAGGAGAUGGUAAUGCCGAUGGC
Molecule: non-coding RNA, 134 nt
Filed under: Acididesulfobacillus acetoxydans
Lineage: Bacteria; Bacillati; Bacillota; Clostridia; Eubacteriales; Peptococcaceae
Description: MOCO_RNA_motif
Rfam family: Molybdenum/Tungsten riboswitch aptamer (Moco RNA motif)
Source: RNAcentral